AGGGAGCGGCGCGCGAGCCAACGACCCCGCCCGGGCCUGCGGGAGGACGGAGCCCCAGCCCCGAGGACCCGCGAGCACCCACGACCUCGCCGGGGAGUGGGCAGCUGCCACUCCCACCUCCACUGGCACUUCGGGCCCCCCAGCCUGCCCUGUGCCUGCAUUCUCCUCCGCGAUAGACCCCACUCGAGACUCCCUGUUUGUGGGGGACCUCAGUGUCCCUACAACACUCAUAGGGACACUCAAGCUCCCCCGGCCCCGGGGACCUGGAUCCUCAGAGAGCUCAGGCAGGUCACUGGGAUGAGUAAGUCCCCCUAGUUUUGUCUGUCACUGGCCUCGUCUUCCAACUCGGGGUCCAGCCCUGGGCAAGGCGUCCACCCACUGCGGCUGCAGUUCCUCACUCGACCUUGACAGCCUCCCAGAGCAGCCGCCCGCUCCCACCCCCACCAUCGCCUCGGCCACUCCCGCGCCAGAGAAGACACUUCAGACUCCGGAGCUGCUCUUCUGCAAUUCGGUGUUUUAUUCUUUCCAAAUCUCAGGCUUAUGCACAAGAUGGAAGAGCACUGUUAAAAUAAAAAAUGGACCUAAA
RNAcentral lists this small RNA (586 nucleotides) under Pongo abelii (Sumatran orangutan). RNAcentral describes it as "retained intron". The record is from RNAcentral. Lineage: Eukaryota; Metazoa; Chordata; Mammalia; Primates; Hominidae.